Molecule: long non-coding RNA, 908 nt
Organism: Brassica oleracea var. oleracea
Lineage: Eukaryota; Viridiplantae; Streptophyta; Magnoliopsida; Brassicales; Brassicaceae
Exons: 4
Source: RefSeq, a predicted model, not a curated record
UUGCUUCAUCUUCGCUGAUGGAGCUGCAGGCUGUGUCACCGUGUCUCUUCACAUCUCACCGUCUCUGGCCUUCAUCUCUGUAACGGCUUCAAUUAUUGUCACUCAGAUACAUUAAUCCAAGCUUUUAGGCCUUUUGCACCACUACUCCCACUCUCUCGAAAUAAAUGGGCAUUAGCAUCCUCCAGCGUAACCGACUCAAGCUUCACUUAUAAAUGCCUUCGUUGCUUGCGAGGAACUGUUACACUGAAACGAAAUCCCAAGGGCGACUCUCUGCGAUGAACUAUGAGCUACUGUCUUGCAUCAUUUAGCUGUAAGAGGUCUGAUUUUAACUAAUAUUGUUGCUUAUUUUAUUUAGCUUUCUAAGAUCAGAAAGUGUUCUGUUUUGCUUAUCAUUUGGGGAAAUCGAGUUGCUAAAGGAGUUCCUGUUGAUUCUCAAAACGAUUCUGGCACACCAUGGAUUUGGGCUGCUGGCCAUGACCAAAACGAUGCAGAGCCAGUCUUAUUAGAACACAAUGCCGAUCCUAACGUUGAGACCGGAUAAUGUCACGCCAUUGUUAUGAGCAGUGACGGCUGGUUCUGUGGCAUGCUUAGAGCUGUUGGUCAAGCUAUUUGAUGAGGCAGCCAAUGCUUUUUACGGAGUAAAGCAGAGAGAUCAUUGAUGGGUUCAGAGAAGCUGUAGAUGCUCCAAGGAAGUUUCACGGAAAGGACAAGAUUAAGGUCAAACCAAAAGAUCUUUUAGAGAUGGCUCUGUUUAGUAUAUGCAUGAAGUUUUGAUUUUACUUCUUACCUUGGUCUCUUCCCGAUGCAGUUGUUGCAUAUCUUACUUAAAUGUACUAAAAUCUUCAGGCAUAGAGUUUGGUUUGGCUAUGAUUUUUUCAUCGUAUUCAGAUUGUCAGCAUUGAUUUUUA